UUUAUCGUGGAAAUCUGUUUCUCCCCACCCUUACCAACUCCUUCGAUGGAUGUUGCACAUUGGAAUACUCAAUAGCGGAUUCUUCCAAUGCAUGAUUUCUGGGUUCAAUAGAACUCAUAAUUAUAGAGAGUUUUUUUCGUUCUAUCACUAUAUUACACCUUUGACCUGAAAUAUUGUAGUUAAUGGAAUAAGCUUGAGUUAUUUGGGCCCCGGAAAAAGCUGAGGAAACUGACUUUUUUAAAAUGCUGAAUCUGUUAAAAGGGUUUCAUGAAAGAUUUUGAAUCCUCAUGUUUAGGAUUCAAGAAAUGCUGGUGUUUUUUUUUUUUUUUUCCUCAUUAUGUUGUCGAGAUCUUAUUUCAAUCUGUUGAACCUCGAUGACUAUUCGAGUGGAGGUGAUCGGGCCCGGGUUCCGAGAGUGAUUUCCGUUCCGGGAAUCAUAUCUGAUUUUGAUGAUCGUGAUGAAGGGGUAGAAUCUGAUGCCCCUGUUCAUCAAGAAAGAAGAGUCAUUGUAGCCAAUCAGCUACCUCUAAAGGCAUAUAAAGAUUCAGAAACCAAUAAAUGGUGCUUUGAUUGGGAUGAAGAUGCCUUAAUUUUACAAAUGAAAGAUGGGUUUUCACCAGAUGUGGAAUUUGUGUAUGUGGGGUGCUUGAGGGUGGAGAUUGAUCCAUUAGAACAAGAAGAAGUGGGUCAACUUUUGUAUGAAAAAUUCAAAUGUGUGCCUACCUUUCUGUCAUUGAAUUUGAUGAACAAAUUUUAUCAUGGCUUUUGUAAGCAUUAUCUGUGGCCUUUAUUUCAUUACAUGUUGCCUUUUACACCUGAUCAUGGAGUCAGAUUUGAUAAGGACAUGUGGCAGGCUUAUGUUUCGGCAAACAAGGUUUUUGCUGACAAGGUUAUGGAGGUUAUCAACCCAGAUGAAGAUUAUGUUUGGGUACAUGAUUAUCAUCUCAUGGUGCUACCUACUUUCCUGAGGAAAAGGUACAAUAGAGUAAAGCUUGGAUUUUUCCUUCAUAGUCUUUUUCCUUCAUCUGAAAUUUAUAGAACUUUGCCUGUUAGGGAGGAAAUUUUGAGGGCCCUUUUAAACUGUGAUCUUAUUGGAUUCCAAACAUUUGAUUAUGCUAGGCAUUUCUUUGAUUAUCAUCUCAUGGUGCUACCUACUUUCCUGAGGAAAAGGUACAAUAGAGUAAAGCUUGGAUUUUUCCUUCAUAGUCUUUUUCCUUCAUCUGAAAUUUAUAGAACUUUGCCUGUUAGGGAGGAAAUUUUGAGGGCCCUUUUAAACUGUGAUCUUAUUGGAUUCCAAACAUUUGAUUAUGCUAGGCAUUUCUUAUCAUGUUGUAGUAGAAUGCUUGGAUUGGAUUACCAAUCCAAGAGGGGGUAUAUUGGUCUAGAUUACUAUGGUAGAACUGUUAGUAUUAAAAUUCUACCUGUUGGAAUUCAUAUGGGUCAGAUUGAAUCAAUUAUGUCGUUACCGGACACUCCUAAGAAAGUUAAGGAAUUGAAGGAGAAGUAUGAUGGGAAAAUUGUGUUGUUGGGUGUAGAUGAUGUGGACAUGUUUAAGGGUAUUGGUUUGAAGUUUGAAGCCUUUGGGCAGCUUUUGGACGAGAAUCCGAGAUAUAGGGGAAGUGUUGUUUUGGUUCAAAUUAUGAACUCCCCAAGGAGUCAGGGAAAUGAUAUCCAAGAGGUUCAAAACGAGAUUAAUAAUGUUGCGACAGAAGUUAAUCGACGAUAUGGUAGUGCAGACUAUGAACCAAUUGUUUGUAUCAAUGGCCCUGUUUCUUUUCAAGAUAAGGUUGCGUAUUAUGUGAUUUCUGAGUGUGUCGUGGUAAAUGCUGUGAGGGAUGGAUUGAAUUUGGUGCCUUAUAAGUACACUGUAUCUAGGCAGGGUAGCCCUUAUUUGGAUGAGGUGUUGGGACUUGAGGGAUCAGCCGCUCCAAGGAAAAGUGUCAUUAUUGUCUCGGAAUUUAUAGGAUGUUCUCCAUCUCUAAGUGGUGCAAUUCGAGUGAAUCCAUGGAACAUCAGUUGUGUGGCCGAGGCCAUGCAUUCAGCAAUUUCAAUGCAGGACUUGGAGAAAGAACUGCGCCACGAGAAACAUUACAAGUAUGUUACAUCGCAUGAUGUUGCCUAUUGGGCCAGGAGUUUUGAUCAGGACCUCGAAAGAGCUUGUGCUCAGUAUUACGAAAACAGGUGUUGGGGCAUUGGCUUUGGUUUGAAUAUCCGAGUUGUCGCCUUGGGGCCUCAUUUCAGGAAGCUUUCUGUGGAACACAUUGUUUCUGCAUAUAAGAAUACUAGUAGUAGGCUUAUCCUUCUCGACUAUGAUGGUACCAUGAUGCCACAAGAUCUAAUUGACAAAUCUCCAUGCCGUGCAGUUAUUUCCGUCUUGAAUGGUUUAUGCAAUGAUCCAAUGAAUGUUGUGUUUAUUGUUAGUGGCAGAGGGAAGGAUUCAUUAGAAAAGUGGUUCUCUCCAUGUGAGAGACUCGGGUUAUCUGCAGAACAUGGCUACUUCACCUGGUAAUAUUUCACUCUAUGUACGACUAUGAAUGUUGUGUGUGUUUUUUCCUUGUUUAAUUUACCAUUUUCUUCUGCUAGGUGGCCUACGAAUUCUGCAUGGGAAUCUUGCGGUUUAGUCGUCGACUUGAGCUGGAAAAACAUAGUUUUGCCUAUAAUGGAGCAUUAUACGGAGGCUACUGACGGUUCAUCGAUUGAACAAAAGGAGAGUGCUUUAGUGUGGCAUCAUCAAGAAGCCGACCCCGACUUUGGCACAUGGCAGGCAAAAGAGCUUCUUGAUCACUUGGAAAGCGUGCUUGCUAAUGAACCCGUGGUUGUUAAAAGAGGCCAGCACAUUGUUGAGGUGAAACCACAGGUAGUGAUCAUAAAACAAACUCAAAAUUUAUCGUGGAAAUCUGUUUCUCCCCACCCUUACCAACUCCUUCGAUGGAUGUUGCACAUUGGAAUACUCAAUAGCGGAUUCUUCCAAUGCAUGAUUUCUGGGUUCAAUAGAACUCAUAAUUAUAGAGAGUUUUUUUCUUUCUAUCACUAUAUUACACCUUUGACCUGAAAUAUUGUAGUUAAAACUUGAGUUAUUUGGGCCCCGGAAAAAGCUGAGGAAACUGACUUUUUUAAAAUGCUGAAUCUGUUAAAAGGGUUUCAUGAAAGAUUUUGAAUCCUCAUGUUUAGGAUUCAAGAAAUGUCUCUAAUUCUCGAUUAGAUUAUGUAAUGUUGAAAUAUGUGGAAUAGAAUAGUACGACCGAUACAGUUCUUAAAUCUGUUUCAUCUUUGAUAUGAUGUAUGUUCUUGAUGUGCUUAAGGG
This 3304-nucleotide long non-coding RNA is filed under the name Olea europaea (common olive). Its description in RNAcentral is "long non-coding RNA (OEUR_LNC015166)". Lineage: Eukaryota; Viridiplantae; Streptophyta; Magnoliopsida; Lamiales; Oleaceae. The record is from RNAcentral.